GUUACUUUGGGACAUCCGAUAAAAUUGAAACGAUAUAGAAAAGAUUGACAUGGUCACUGCGCACAAGAAUGACAUGAACUAGUAGAUAAGUUGAUGUGUAUAU
Molecule: small nuclear RNA, 103 nt
Filed under: Solanum tuberosum (potato)
Lineage: Eukaryota; Viridiplantae; Streptophyta; Magnoliopsida; Solanales; Solanaceae
Source: RNAcentral